GGGGAAGGCUCGUCCUCCCAGGGUUAGUCGGGACCUAAGCCGAGGCCGAGAGGCGUAGGCGAUGGAUAACAGGUUGAGAUUCCUGUACUGGUUUGAUUUGUUUGAACGAUGGAGGGACGCAGGAGGCUAGAGAUGCGUGCUGUUGGAUAUGCACGUCCAAGCAACAAGUCUGAUGAUGAGUCAAAUGCUUAUCAUCUUAAGGAUAAGUUGUGAUGGGGAGCGAAAUUAAAGUAGCGAAGUGAUCGAUGUCACACUGCCGAGAAAAGCUUCUAGUUAGRAUCAGACCACCCGUACCGCAAACCGACACAGGUAGUCGAGGCGAGUAGCCUAAGGUGAGCGAGAGAACUCUCGUUAAGGAACUCGGCAAAAUGACCCCGUAACUUCGGGAGAAGGGGUGCUGCACGAUGUGCAGCCGCAGUGAAUAGGCCCAGGCGACUGUUUAUCAAAAACACAGGUUUCUGCAAAAUCGUAAGAUGAAGUAUAGGGGCUGACGCCUGCCCGGUGCUGGAAGGUUAAGAGGAUGGGUUAGCGUAAGCGAAGCUCAGAAUUGAAGCCCCAGUAAACGGCGGCCGUAACUAUAACGGUCCUAAGGUAGCGAAAUUCCUUGUCGGGUAAGUUCCGACCCGCACGAAAGGCGUAACGAUCUGGGCACUGUCUCAACGAGAGACUCGGUGAAAUUAUAAUACCCGUGAAGAUGCGGGUU
RNAcentral lists this ribosomal RNA (703 nucleotides) under Ligilactobacillus murinus. RNAcentral's name for it is "Lactobacillus murinus partial 23S ribosomal RNA". It matches the Rfam family "Bacterial large subunit ribosomal RNA", at positions 1358 to 2067 of the family's 2925-position model. Lineage: Bacteria; Bacillati; Bacillota; Bacilli; Lactobacillales; Lactobacillaceae. The record is from RNAcentral.